AUAGCUCAGUGGUAGAGCGUUGGUCUUGUAAACCAAAGGUCCGUAGUUCAAUCCUGCGU
Caenorhabditis tropicalis is the source of this 59-nucleotide non-coding RNA. NCBI's taxonomy places the organism in Eukaryota, Metazoa, Nematoda, Chromadorea, Rhabditida, Rhabditidae. The record is from Rfam.